Molecule: ribosomal RNA, 478 nt
Filed under: uncultured Alphaproteobacteria bacterium
Lineage: Bacteria; Pseudomonadati; Pseudomonadota; Alphaproteobacteria
Description: bacterial SSU rRNA
Rfam family: Bacterial small subunit ribosomal RNA
Source: RNAcentral
GAGUUUGAUCUUGGCUCAGAACGAACGCUGGCGGCAUGCCUAACACAUGCAAGUCGAACGGGAUCCGAACUUCGGUCCGGUGAGAGUGGCGGACGGGUGAGUAACGCGUGGGAACCUGCCCAAUGGUCUGGGAUAACCGCGGGAAACUGCGGCUAAUACCGGAUAAGCCCGAGAGGGGAAAGAUUUAUCGCCGAUGGAGGGGCCCGCGUCCGAUUAGGUAGUUGGUGAGGUAACGGCUCACCAAGCCGACGAUCGGUAGCUGGUCUGAGAGGAUGAUCAGCCACACUGGGACUGAGAUACGGCCCAGACUCCUACGGGAGGCAGCAGUGGGGAAUAUUGGACAAUGGGGCAACCCUGAUCCAGCAAUGCCGCGUGAGUGAUGAAGGCCUUAGGGUUGUAAAGCUCUUUUGGCGGGGACGAUGAUGACGGUACCCGCAGAAUAAGCCCCGGCUAACUUCGUGCCAGCAGCCGCCGUAAG